Manduca sexta (tobacco hornworm) is the source of this 108-nucleotide long non-coding RNA. RefSeq lists it as uncharacterized. The record is from RefSeq and is a predicted model, not a curated record. The transcript has 2 exons. Lineage: Eukaryota; Metazoa; Arthropoda; Insecta; Lepidoptera; Sphingidae.
AAAUUAUACAGCAACUAUAAAAGAAAAAAACGUUUCAUUUUAUGUAAUCCCUAAAGAUGGACUGCUAAAAGAAAAAUGGUUGUGUGUGAUUAGAACUCAAAGGUGUGA